RNAcentral lists this ribosomal RNA (253 nucleotides) under uncultured bacterium. Its description in RNAcentral is "partial 16S ribosomal RNA". It matches the Rfam family "Bacterial small subunit ribosomal RNA", at positions 524 to 776 of the family's 1533-position model. RNAcentral also lists the same sequence under 1 other name. The record is from RNAcentral.
UACGAAGGGUCCUAGCGUUGUUCGGAAUUACUGGGCGUAAAGGGCGCGUAGGCGGCUUACUAAGUCAGGUGUGAAAUCCCCGGGCUCAACCUGGGAACUGCAUUUGAUACUGGUAGGCUAGAGAUCGGAAGAGGUGAGUGGAAUUCCUAGUGUAGAGGUGAAAUUCGUAGAUAUUAGGAAGAACACCAGAGGCGAAGGCGGCUCACUGGUCCGAUACUGACGCUAAGGCGCGAAAGCGUGGGGAGCAAACAGG